CGCGAAUAGCUCAUUACAACAGCUAUAAUUUACUCGAUCUUGACACAAUCCUACUUGGAUAACUGUGGUAAUUCUAGAGCUAAUACAUGCAUUAAAGCUCUGACCUUCGGGGAAGAGUGCAUUUAUUAGAACAAAACCAAGCGGCUUCGGCUGUUUUCGGUUGACUCAUAGUAACUGAGCUGAUCGCAUGGUCUUGCACCGGCGACGUGUCGUUCAAGUAUCUGCCGUAUCAACUUUCGAUGGUAGUGUAUCUGACUACCAUGGUGAUCACGCGUAACGGAGAAUAAGGGUUCGACUCCGGAGAGUUCGCCUGAGAAAUCGCGAACACAUCUAAGGAAGGCAGCAGGCGCGAAAAUUACCCACUCUCAGCACGAGGAGGUAGUGACGAAAAAUAACGAGACCGUUCUCUUAUGAGGCCGGUCAUCGGAAUGGGUACAAUUUAAACCCUUUAACGAGUAUCUAUGAGAGGGCAAGUCUGGUGCCAGCAGCCGCGGUAAUUCCAGCU
This 505-nucleotide ribosomal RNA is filed under the name Cervidellus vexilliger. RNAcentral describes it as "SSU rRNA". It matches the Rfam family "Eukaryotic small subunit ribosomal RNA", at positions 88 to 590 of the family's 1831-position model. Lineage: Eukaryota; Metazoa; Nematoda; Chromadorea; Rhabditida; Cephalobidae. The record is from RNAcentral.